GGACAUUUUAUGAAGCCUUUUUUGGGGUGAAACGUUGUAAAACUGCCCCUCGUCACUGCUGCUGGUCCCAUCCGUCUGAUCCAGGAGGUAAAAAAUAAUUCAGACCUGGCCUUACUGCGGAGUUUUCCAUUCAAACAUUUCAAUAUGCACUGGCUGGCAGUGCAGAGGACAGGUUCCUAACAAGCUGCAAAGAUGAAAAGCUUUCAACUUCCUUAUAUUUAUCUGGAGAAAUUCUCCUUGAGAGAAAUGAACUGGAGCAGGCUCAUGGACCCCUUCAGAAUUCGCUGGCUGCUCCAGAGGGGAAAGCUGUGGCUUUUAACAACCUGGAACAUCUGAAACGACCCCUGCCAGCUUUCCCCAAACUUCCCUUCAUUGCCCGUCCCCCGUGUAGCACGACCUGCCCUGUAUUAAGGCUCUAAUUAAAACGACUCGUGUCGCAAUUUGGCAGAGCAGAGCUGAUGGGCGUCUGUUUAGAGAAGAGCUCCAGUGUUUUAUCAACACUAAUGAGUGAUGGGAGCCUCUUUGCGCCCUUUUCACAAAGGUCCUGCUCAAAUCACCGCGUGACCAGCCUUAAUUACAGCGAGUUAAUUUGCUGCUGCCUGCCUCGCAGAUGUUUGGGCAAACGUUCCAUGGAUCGUGGGCUGGUGAGGGAGCCGCUGCAGCUGGCCAG
Long non-coding RNA from Hirundo rustica (Barn swallow), 670 nucleotides. RefSeq lists it as uncharacterized. The transcript has 3 exons. The record is from RefSeq and is a predicted model, not a curated record. NCBI's taxonomy places the organism in Eukaryota, Metazoa, Chordata, Aves, Passeriformes, Hirundinidae.